ACAGCCGGGUCUGAAUUAUCACCUUAUGCCUGUCAAGCAAUCACUCAUCUCUACUCUGUGCACAGCACUGAAUUAAGCUCUUGGGAGAAUGUGGGAGAAUUAAUAAUAAUAAUAAUAAUAAUGUCGGUAUUUGUUAAGCGCUUACUAUGAGCAGAGCACUGUUCUAAGCGCUGGGCUAGAUGCAGGGUAAUCAGGUUGUCCCACGUGAGGCUCACAGUUUUAAUCCCCAUUUUACAGAUGAGGUAACAGGCACAGAGAAGUGAAGUGACUUGCUCACAGUCACACAGCUGACAAGUAGCAGAUUAGAACACAGGAUCCCUCCCCUCAAGGAGCUUUUACAAUCUAGUGGGGAAGACAGAUGCUAAAAUAACUUACAGGUAGGGGAAAUGACAGAGUUUAAACAUAUGUAGACAAGUGCUAUGGAUUUUCCCCAAGCUAAGCACAGGGAAAACCCUCACUGGGAAGCAGCGUAGCCUAGUGAAAAUACCACGGGCUCGGGAGUCAGGGACCUGGGUUCUAAUCCCAGCUCUGCCACUUGUCAGCUGUUUGACCUUGGGCAAGUAACUUAACUUUUUUGAGUCUCAGUUUUCUCAUUUUCAAAAUGAAGAUUAAGACUCAGAACCCAUUUGGGACAUGGACCGUAUCCAACCCGAGUAUCUUGUAUCUACUCCAGCUCUUAGUCCAGUACUUAGCACAGAAUACUAUCAUUUUUUAAAAAGCAACAAAUUAUAACAGUGACAACCAUAGGACUGUCCUAAUUCAAGUUUCAAAACGGUGUAAAUGAGAUCACAUUUAACCUGGGAGAAAAUGCUAUAAUUAGACUUGUAGAAAAAUCCUUUAAAGCACUCAUUUAUUAAAGCGGUUAUCUGGAGAUAAUAGGUAACAGUGAACUGAAAUACCAGUUUAUUUCAACAGGUUGCAGCCUGGUGGUAACUGGAAUAUAAACUCUGAACUAGAUGUCUCUGGUCGGCCUUCUCCCAAGUAACAACGGGAGCUGGAACUGGAAACGUCUUCAGUGUCUCCUCAGCACCCUAAGUCUGCAAAACCUGCAGCAAAUGGACAAAGUGACUCAAGGACCAGGACCCAAAUUGUACUUUCCAAGCGCUUAGUACAGUACUCUGCCCAUAGUAAAGCUCAAU
Molecule: long non-coding RNA, 1139 nt
Filed under: Ornithorhynchus anatinus (platypus)
Lineage: Eukaryota; Metazoa; Chordata; Mammalia; Monotremata; Ornithorhynchidae
Description: lncRNA (ENSOANG00000047843.1)
Source: RNAcentral